UCAGAUUAUAAACUCAACUUAAAAAAGAGGGCUUCAGAAUUAAAGAAACAUCAGACUCAAACAGGAGGAGGGCCUCUUUUAACAAAUAAAGGUAUAUCUGACACUGAUAACCGAUUAUUAAAUAUUCUUGGAAAGACAUUUUUUGAAGGCUGUGGAACACAGGAAAAAGGUCGAUUUUAGCUGUAAAGAUGGACGGCCCUACUCAAAACUAUCAGAAUCAGGACCAAACUAUCAACAAAAAUUUGUGCCACUUAUGCCGUAAAAUGUUUUCUUCCAUUUCAGCUAAGAACAAACAUAUUAAAGUUAUUCAUAAGCAGCAGCUCCCAGAUAACCCAAAGUCACACAUUUCUUGUCCCUUAUGCAAAGAGACUAAGUAUUCUUGUGAGACUUAUCAAAGACUUGAAGCUUAUUUACAGGUUAAGUCAUGAUAUCAAAAUAGAGUCCUCAACUUUCCAUUUUUCCAGAGAAGAAAGAUUUGAGGAAUGGUUAAGAGAGCAUAAAAUAAGCACAAACUAUGCACUUGUUUGCACAAGGAAAAUUGAAGACAAGAUUGAAAAAGUAUAUUGUUGCAAUCGAAGCGAUUUUAGAGGUAAUUUGUAGCAAUUUCAAUUGUUCAUUAUGGUGUGUGAGCAAAGGAAGGGAAGCGAUUCUGUUUUAGGUGAACUCCUUGGGAAUGUUCUUUCAAUAAUAUUGAAGCUAGCCAUAGUCUAGAAAUUGAAACAUUUGUUAAUGAGAAGACGACUGAAAAUCAACAAGUCGCAGUACAACAAUUGAACAAGCAAUCAACAAGAGAAAUUGAAAUUGAAGUGUGAAAUUGAAAGUGUAUCAAACUUUUUAAGAUAUUUAAAUAAUGAAACUUAUGAUAAGUGCAUGAGACAACUGACAUCAAUGAUGGAACAGAUAAAUAAGACAAAUACAAGUAAACGAAAAAUGGACAAACAAGUUUAUUUUCCAUCAAAGAAGAAGAAGGAGCAAUAAAUAAAAAUAAUUAAUUGUAUAUUUUUUUCUAUUUAUCAGUAUUUUUUUUAUAUAAUAGUAGGUAUAUUUUUAUAGGUUUAACUAUAUAUGUAUGUAUAUGUGUAUUAUAAUUUUUUAUGUAAGUUUGAGGCAAAUAUUUUAAAAAACAUUACCUAUCUCAUAAGUUUCUUGUAGUUUCUUCUUAUGAGUAUUAAUCGAAACUGCGAAUUGUAAAUUAGUAUUUUAGCAUAAAAUAAUUAAGUUUCUUUUCAAAUCAGUCAUAUACAUGUCUUUGCAGCAUUUAUAAAA
RNAcentral lists this long non-coding RNA (1266 nucleotides) under Anthonomus grandis grandis. RNAcentral's name for it is "uncharacterized LOC126742541". The record is from RNAcentral. Lineage: Eukaryota; Metazoa; Arthropoda; Insecta; Coleoptera; Curculionidae.